AGACGAGGACUCGCUGUGUUGGCUGUUCUUGAGCUUCUGGGCUCAAGCAAUCCUCCCUCCUGAGCUUCCCAGAGUGCUAGGAUUACAGGUGUGAGCCACUGAGCCCAGCCCAUUUUCUUUUUUUUUUUUUUCCUGGCUUCCUUUCCUCCCUGUCUCCCUGGCCUACCCUUCCUCUUCCCUCAGCUGUUCCUUCCCUUUCUCUCCAGUGAAGACUAAGGGCCAAGCAUGAGCCUUUCUUCCUGCUCUUUUACCCUUGAGGCAGCAGGAGAGGAUAUUCACCUCCUGACAUGACAGAUUCUGACGCUAUCUGCUCCUCUGUGACUUUGGGAAGCGGGGUAUGUGCUGCUCCUGGGCUGAUGGGGGAAAGUGCCUCUCCCAGCAAUGCUGGUGCCACUUGGUGUGCUACGGCCCCCCAGGGCAGUGCGGAGCCAUCUGGGACAGUUAGACAAUGAGAGACGUGAAGCCAUUUCAAGGUGCUUCCUUGAAAAUGCUCCAGAAAAACAGCAGAGGCGGCCUCUCUGGGGAUCCGGUCCAGCCCUUGAAAAGAAUCUGUUUGUUUCACCACUGAACUCAAAUAAGCCAACAGAUUGAAGGAAGGGAGUUUCCACGCGCCCCUCCCCACCAAGCAGUUACCUGAGUUCCAGAGUCCAGUCCGAUGGAUCCCAUUUUACCCUGGUUUAAAUUGUUUCCUUAGAAAAAAAUAAAC
Molecule: unclassified non-coding RNA, 706 nt
Filed under: Homo sapiens (human)
Lineage: Eukaryota; Metazoa; Chordata; Mammalia; Primates; Hominidae
Description: IQSEC3 antisense RNA 1 (ENSG00000262193.2)
Source: RNAcentral